GACGAACGCUGGCGGCGCGCCUAACACAUGCAAGUCGAACGGAGCUGCGAGAAGCUUGCUUUUCUUAGCUUAGUGGCGAACGGGUGAGUAACGCGUGAGUAACCUGCCCUGGAGUGGGGGACAACAGCUGGAAACGACUGCUAAUACCGCAUAAGCUCACGAUCCGGCAUCGGAUUGAGGGAAAAGGAUUUAUUCGCUUCAGGAUGGACUCGCGUCCAAUUAGCUAGUUGGUGAGGUAACGGCCCACCAAGGCGAGGAUUGGUAGCCGGACUGAGAGGUUGGACGGACACAUUGGGACUGAGACACAGCACAGACUCCUACGCGAGGCAGCAGUGGGGGAUAGUGCACAAUGGGGGAAACCCUGAUGCAGCGACGCCGCGUGGAGGAAGAAGGUUGGCGGAUUGUAAACUCCUGUCGUUAGGGACGAUAAUGACGGUACCUAACAAGAAAGCACCGGCUAACUACGUG
RNAcentral lists this ribosomal RNA (468 nucleotides) under uncultured bacterium. RNAcentral's name for it is "partial 16S ribosomal RNA". It matches the Rfam family "Bacterial small subunit ribosomal RNA", at positions 28 to 507 of the family's 1533-position model. The record is from RNAcentral.